RNAcentral lists this ribosomal RNA (375 nucleotides) under uncultured bacterium. Its description in RNAcentral is "bacterial SSU rRNA". It matches the Rfam family "Bacterial small subunit ribosomal RNA", at positions 523 to 898 of the family's 1533-position model. The record is from RNAcentral.
AUACGUAGGGGGCGAGCGUUGUCCGGAAUUACUGGGCGUAAAGCGCGCGCAGGCGGCUUGUUAAGUCAGGUGUCAAAAUGCGGGGCUCAACCCCGUAUCGCACUUGAAACUGGCAGGCUUGAGUGCAGGAGAGGGAAGUGGAAUUCCUAGUGUAGCGGUGAAAUGCGUAGAUAUUAGGAGGAACACCAGUGGCGAAGGCGACUUCCUGGACUGUAACUGACGCUCAGGCGCGAAAGCUAGGGGAGCAAACAGGAUUAGAUACCCUGGUAGUCCUAGCCGUAAACGAUGGGUACUAGGUGUUGGGGGUGACAAUCCCCCAGUGCCGCAGUUAACGCAUUAAGUACCCCGCCUGGGGAGUACGUGCGCAAGCAUGAA